RNAcentral lists this long non-coding RNA (281 nucleotides) under Sorghum bicolor (sorghum). RNAcentral describes it as "long non-coding RNA (SBIC_LNC009057)". Lineage: Eukaryota; Viridiplantae; Streptophyta; Magnoliopsida; Poales; Poaceae. The record is from RNAcentral.
AUCACCAUACACCAUUCAUUCGCCACACAUGCACAUCUUGAUUUGACUUUUUGACUUGUUCUUCUGGAUCCAUGGUUUGACUAUGCAAUAAAUGUCUUGUAAGUAUGUAUUAGCUGUCUCCCACCUAUGAGCUCCAGAUAUCAAAAGCCUUAUUAGAGUAGGGUGAGAGAGAAGGCAAUGUCACUAUGCCUCAUACCAAAAAUACCACAUACUUUGAGAGAAGGCAUACACUAUUAUUGCCUUGGUAAGGAUCCAGAAAUACCACAAAAGAGAGACUAGAG